Molecule: unclassified non-coding RNA, 324 nt
Filed under: soil metagenome
Description: partial contains 5.8S ribosomal RNA, internal transcribed spacer 2, and large subunit ribosomal RNA
Rfam family: 5.8S ribosomal RNA (bases 1-120)
Source: RNAcentral
GAUGAAGAACGUAGCGAAAUGCGAUAAGUAGUGUGAAUUGCAGAAUUCAGUGAAUCAUCGAAUCUUUGAACGCACAUUGCGCCCCUUGGUAUUCCAUGGGGCAUGCCUGUUCAAGCGUCAUUUGUACCUUCAAGCUUUGCUUGGUGUUGGGUGUUUGUCCCGAGGGACUCGCCUUAAAGUAAUUGGCAGCCAGUGUUUGGUUUUGAAGCGCAGCACAAGUCGCGAUUCAAGGCUACACGCCCGCUUCCACAAGCCUUUUUUCACUUUUGACCUCGGAUCAGGUAGGGAUACCCGCUGAACUUAAGCAUAUCAAUAAGCGGAGGA